UCUUCAUUUAUUAUAGAUCAGUGCUUUUUUAAAAAUACUUUUAUUUUCCCUUCUUAUUUCAAAAGCAAUGCAAAUUCAUUGCAAAAUAUUGAGCAUACUCAGAGAGUCACUUCUCGGUGUACUCUUGCAGCUUUCACACACGACUGUCUAUGUCCGGUUACAAGAUGGGCCCUGCCCUCCACGUCCCUCCUGUAAGCGACUCCCCAUUUCCUGAUGCCCAUCUGUCCAGGACGUUUUAAAAGGACUUUUAAAAGAACACAGUGUUUCCAGUCUGACAAAAUGUGACUUCUCCAGGAAGAACCCAGGGCCUGGCUUGAAGUGUGGGCACUCUCAGUGGUGGCUGCGUGAGGGGUAAGGGCCAAGAGACGGCUCUCUGGGCACCACCCCAGGGGGACCCCAGUGAAGUGCUCCUAUAGCCCCCCGGCCCUGCCUGGGCCGCAGUGGGGGCUGGGCAGGACACAGUUAGCACACGGGUGGGAAAGCCUCUCCCCAGGUCCACCUUGAACCAGAGAUGGCCUUAGCCCCAGGGCCGAGGGGAUGGAUGGGUGGCCUGCUGCCAUGGCAUUUACUGGUAGAGGACAGUUACAGUGGAAUGUGACCCCUGGAAGCCUGGACAUGGAGUAGGGGAGGGAAGGCUCCUGUCCCCGAGAGGCAGGCGGUGGCUGGACACACAUAUGCUGGAGCCGCACCAUCUGGGUUAAGUCCCACUGCAUCUGCCUGGAGCUUUGGGACUGCUGUGGAGUGUCUCCCUGUGGUAGUCAGCUUUACAUUGCUAUAACAAAAUACCUGAGAUAAUAAAAUCAUAAAGAGAGGAGGUUUAUUUGGCUCAUGGUUUCAAGGCCUUAGUGUUUGGCUGGCCCCGUUGGUUUCGGCCUGUGGUAGGUGGCUCAUCAUGAUGGGAGUACAUGGUGGAGCCAAGCUGCUCAUAUCAUGGAUGGCAGUGAAGGAGACGAAGAGGAGGAGGCUGGGUCCCCAUAUUUCCUUCAAGGACACACCCUCCAUGAUCACAAGACCUCCCCUUAGGCCCCACCUCCAUGAGCAGGGGCCAGACCCUGAAUGCAUGGGCCUUGGGAGACCUUCUAGAUUCGAACCACAGCACUCCCCAGAGUUCCCACUCUGGAAACUAGUCCCCAAUUCACAUGUUGGUAGCAUCUGGAGAAGGGGGCCUUUGAGAGGGAGUCAGGGUGAGGUGAGGUUCACCAGAAUGGCCUUAGUGGCUCUAUAAGAGGAGACCAGAGUGAGCCCACUGCUCCAUCUCAUUGUGGGUCGCCCUCCCAGGUGUCGGGAUGCAGCAAGAAGGCCCCGCCCGACACCUGCACCUUGAGGCUGGGCCCUCCUCCUCCAGGACUGUGAGGAAUAAAUCCCUCUUCUUUAUAAAUUACCCAGCCUCGGGUAUUCUGUUUUAGCAACACUUCACAGACUCAGCGGGUGAUGUCGGCCGUGGGACUUACGCUUUCUCUGUGCCUCAGGUUCCUUAUCGUAAGAUAGGGAUUAGGAUCGUGUCUCUCUCCUAAUGUAGUUUAAAUUAAUAUCCACUUGAAGGAGGCUCAGAAGCAGACCGUGGAGAGCCCAGCUCAGGCUUCCUCUGGAGUCCUGCUGUUCUAGGUCAGUAGUGCUUAGCCCUGGCCAUACACUAAUAUCUCCACAGGAAGCUCUGAAGACUUCUGGUGCCUGGGCCCCACCCAGACCCACUGGAUCAGAGCCCCUGCCCUCUGUGGCCCCAGGACGAAGGGCCUUUGGUUUUUUUUUUUUUUUUCAAAGCUCCCCCAGGCGAUUCUAAUGUGUGGCCAAGUCUGAGAAUCCUUGAUUUGAACCUAACCGAGAAGGAGCCCGUCUGGCCAGCCAGCCUUUGAUCGGCAGCAGAACUUCACUGUGUCAGUCGGGGACGGUUACCUGGAGCCACCCAUGGAGAAGUGAGGAUUUUCCUGGAGGUUCAAAGAUGCAGAAAUGAUUUCUGGAGUGCGGGAUGGUGAACGAAAUCCAUUGUAAAUCCGUAAAGAAUUUUCAUAAAGACAAUCUAUCUAUUCUAUGUUGGAAACUAAUGGGGUAAAAUCGUUUCUGGUAGAUAUCGUCUUAGGAAGUGGCCACAUGAGAUGAAGACUUUUAAGUGCCAUAGUUAUGCACUAGAGUAUCUUCUAAUUUCCUACAAGGACUCAGAGGAACUGGAAGGUCUCCAGCACAGGCCUUGAUUUAAGACACACUGUACAAUGAGGGGACACUGUCCCUGUCAAGUACAGUGGAAACCAGAGUUUUGAGACUAGACUCUGCCAAUUUCCUCCUAGGUUCUUGCCUCACAGAUUUGAAGAAUAAAAUCCACAGACAAUGGUGGGAGGGAAGAUGGACAGAGCACUCCCAGGAUGCAGGAGCCGUGCAGCAGGAAGGCCCACUCUGCUGUGCCAGCCUAGGGGCUGACAGGGCCUUGGGUAUGAGCAGGCUUGACGUUUUCGCUGAACAGGCAGCAGGGAAGUUCCGAGGCUGCUGGCUGUGUCUUCAGCCUGGGUCCUGAUCCCUCCUGUGAAGCCCAUCUGGCUUCACCCCCACCUUCUGUUCUGACUCUCGGGGAAGAAGGAGCUGGAUGCUCCUAUGGGUGAUCCUCAUGGUCUUUUCCAUUUGAAAAAGACUUUGCUGUUGCCUAUUGAUACUUCUUUUGCCUCCUGGCUGGUCUCUGCCUUUGAACAAGGCCUUCCCUGGGGCCCGCUGCCUGACCACUGUGUGCUCUGAUUCACAUCUGCAUCACUGAUGGGGAACACCUCCUGAAUGACGUGUCUUAGUGUUUCAUCGCUGUACGAACAUCCUACAUCGGACGGACAUCUACAAAACCUGUGAUGAGGCCUGCUGCAGACCUAGGUGACACAGCACAGCCAUUGCCCCCGGUCGGCAAAGCUGAAUAGCAGGUGCUCAGUGCUGCAGGCAGCUGUAACACAGUGGUGAGUCCACGUGUGUCCAACCUUGUCUAAACCAGGAGGUCCAGCAAGAACACUAGGCAACAGGAAUCUCCCAUCCUCCUUACAAGCUUAGGUGCCACUCACACGUGUGUGGUCCCUUGCCAACCAGAAAGCUGCUGUCCAGGGCAUGACUGUAUUGUCUGAUCACGCCACCCCAGGACUUGGAGGUGGCACUUGCAGAGGGGACAAGGUGGACCAGCAGUUGUCUUUUCAGCCUGAUCCUACAAGAUUGGCUCAGCAUUCCAGUUGCCUGUUCUCCCCUCAUGGCUGAGCUGAGCGCUGGGCCUCAGAUCCAACUCAUUUGUUUGGAAAGGGAUCCUUGUGGAGUGGCACCUUGGAAAGCACCCAUCUGAAGCAACGUUGUGUGGAUUGGUUAUGAUUUUCCCAGGACAUGUAAGUAAGGCAGAAUCGCUCGUCUGUUCGUGAGCUCCUUCUCGGUCCCUGAGGGCUGCCUCAGAAUUCCCUGGGAGUGACAGUGACACCUCCCCUCCUGGCCCCAUGGUGAAUGGUCCUCUGUGUGAAGGGGAUGGAGCUGGGCAGAAGCAACAGGACCAGCAGGCAAAGGGUGUGGUCAGCGCCCAGGCCUGGGUGGCCAAGAGAGGUGGCCCCACGUGCCUUCAAGUCCUUCCUGCCUGGACUGUGCCUCCCUGAAAUCUGCUCAGGAUGGAGGAGCCCGUGAGCAGGACUUGGGCGGAAAUGAUACAGGACCAGCCACGUGGGUCCAGAGGGGUCUGCGAGGCAGCGCGGUACCGUGCAGAAGUCUGUUCUCUUAAAGACCCCCUGUCCUGGCCCAUGUCACUGGGCUGCCUCUGGCAAGUGGCUUAUUUCCUUUAAGCUUCAGUUCCUCAUCUCUGAAGUGGGGACACUGAGGUAACCACUGUCUUCCACCUGCAGGGCAGACGUGAGGCCCACCCAGGGCCUGAGGGCUGCAGACCUAGCCUGGAGCCUGGGUUAGGGUGAAGCACUGAACUCAGUGACUCUUGACCACCUUGGGGGACACACCACACAUGCACGGACGGCGGCUGAUGGAUGACCAGUGGUAAAGAGCCUGCAAGUGGCGCAGAUGGGCGAAUGUUGCAGGAGUUCCGAGCAGGGUGGGUCCCCGAGGUAGGGGCAGAGGGCUGGCGUUCCGGAGGCGUGACCUGGGCCUGGAAGGAGAACUCUGUGCCCAGGAAGGCACAAGCCUGGCCUGUUCCUCUCAGGCCUGGGAAGAGCUCCAUAAUCAUCCACCCUCCAUCAAAAAUGCUGCCCAUCGUUGACCCAGACGUCGUGUGGCGUGUGACUGCAUUUAUUUGGUUCUCCUCUGAUGGGCCAGUUCCAAGCCACCCACUCACUCUGGGAAACUUCAAACAACAUGGCCUAAGGAUUUCUUGUUGGUGGCUCCCAGGCAGACAAAAACAGCCAUGUCCCUCAGUGGGGACAAGGUCCUAUACACCCUUUGUGUCAUUUUGGCCACAGACCAGGAGAAGCUUCUCCAGAGUGACCACCAAGGACCUGGCACCCCUUCCCUCUGGCGCUAGGUAGAUACCUGUUCAUGGCAGCGCAAGAGCAAGGCUUCCUGGCUGCCCACGCGGGACAGGAAGGAGCCGCGUGCGCUGUGUGUUCCUGGUACAGCGCCGGGCCCUGCCGGGAUGGUCUGGGGAGCUGUCUGCUCGAGUUCCACGUCGCUGGACGUGGCAGUUGAGCUGGUGACUGUGGAACGUUCUAGAAGAGGAGUGGGGUGGGACAAGGCGAGCUUGAAGCUGGAGGAGCCCGGUGCCUGGAUCAGGGCAGCUGAGAUUCCAGGUUGCCCGCUGCCAGCCUGCAUGACACCUCCGCUGUCUGUCUCCCCAGCCGGGGCCAGUGUGACUUCCCCUCCACGUGGGACGACGCUGGGGGGUGGGUGUCCUGGCAACAGCCUGUUAGGGUCUGUAAACAAGUCAAGAUGGCGCCUGGCAUUUUGCCAGAGGGAGUGGUUUGUGAAGUAACACCAGCGAGCCAUUAAGUGUGGAGAUUCCUUAAUGACUGACUGCUGUAUCUAGUUUAUGUUAAUUAGAUAAGCUGUGUGGAAUGUAUACAUACCCCUCCUGUCCUACAAUAAACGGCUCCCUCUCCUGCUGUAUCAAUGUACACAAGUUGCUCGUCACCCCCCGGUUAUUUUGCUGCAGCCGGACUGCGGCAACAGCCCAUUCCUGGAGGGAGAGCAGGGGCGGAGGUCAAGCAAGACUUUGUUGGACAGUCCCAGGAGGGUCGCCUCCACCACACCCUGCAGGGGACCUGGGAGUGCCAGUCACUUCUUGGAGCUGGUAGAGAGCUGGGCCGCAGACCCCGUGACCUUCAGAUGUCAUCGAAUGGCCACCCGAGGAAGGCAGACUACCAAACACCUGUUUCAGGUUCAGAUUUUCAGAAACCAACAAGAACACA
Molecule: long non-coding RNA, 5348 nt
Organism: Marmota monax (woodchuck)
Lineage: Eukaryota; Metazoa; Chordata; Mammalia; Rodentia; Sciuridae
Exons: 5
Source: RefSeq, a predicted model, not a curated record